AGAUAAGGUCUGGCCCUGUUGGCCAAGUUGGAGUGCAGUGGCACAAUCUUGGUUCACUGCAGCCUCUGCCUCCCAGGCCCAAGCCAUCUUCCCACCUCAGCCUCCUGAGUAGCUGGGAUUACAGGCACACACCACCACACCUGGCUAAUUUUUGUGUUGUUUUUUUUCUGUAGAGACGAGGUUUCGCCAUGUUCCCGAGGCUGGUCUUGAACUCAUGAGCUCAAGCGGUCUGCCGGCCUUGGCCUCGCAAAGUGCUGAGAUUAGAGGCGUGAGCCGCCUCACUCAGCCUUCAUUCCUUUUUAUGGCCAAAUAAUAUUCUGUUGGAUGAAUGGGCCACGUUGUGUUUUUCCAUUUAUCCGUUGACAGGCACUUUGUUACCACUUUUUGGCAUUUCUUCGAGGAUCUUUAUAGUCUGACAGUUUGAUUUUCAUUUGGUGACAAGGGGAUUGUUCUUACACAAGGCCUUGGUCGUACUGAUGCUGUCAGCUGGAGGAUGUAUUUUGCUUCCUGUUCACAUUGUCUGUGCGUGGGAUGGUCAUGAGUCAGGUGGUAGAGCGGGUGUGUUAGCCUUGGGGUAUUUUGGUGAGACAAUUCGGUUUAAGGAAGGAAACACGUUUUCAGGACCCGUACCCCAAAACACAACCAUAACCCGAGGUCGCCACUUGGCUGAGCUGUCCCCCACAGGGACUUCAGGUCCCUGGUUCCUCCAUCCCCAAUCUGCUUCCUUCCAUUCCCGCCAGAACCAGGGUAUUUUCCAAGGGCAGGUUUCACAUCCACUUGGGGCAGGGAUCUUAAGCCACAGUAAGACUAAUUUCCAGGUCCCAGGUCUCCUGGGAAACCCCAAAAGACUGAGCCCUGCCGAGUGAGAACAUUCUCUGAAGCUCUGAUAAUCAAAACAGCGUGGCACCUCACAAGCCUCAGCAGCCCAGAGGCGGACCACAUGUAUAAAAUAACGCCAUGUGUAGUAUUUAACAAAGGAGGCUCCCCAAUCCAGGGAGGGAAGGAUUCUUUCACAAAAGGCAUGAAAACAGUUGCUUCCAUGUUUGGAAGCAGUUUUGUUUUGUUUUUUGUUUGUUUUUUUGAUACAUGGUCUUGCUCUGUGGCCCAGGCUGGAGUGCAGUGGCAUGAUCACAGCUCACUGCAGCCUUGGCCUCAUGGGCUCAGGCAAUCCCCCUGCCUCGGCCUCCCGAGUAGCUGGGAUUAUAGAUGUGCACCACCACGCCCAGCUAAUUUUUUAAUUUUUUAUAGAGAUGGCGUCUUGUGGCCAGGCACAGUGGCUCACACCUGUAAUCCCAGCACUUUGGGAGGCCGAGGUAGGAGGGUCACUUGAGGUCAGGAGUUUGAGACCAGCCUGGCCAACAUGGUGAAACCCCAUCUCUACUAAAAAUACAAAAAUUAGCUGGGUAUGGUAGUGUUCAGGCCCAGGUAUAGGGGGUCAGCCCAGAGCUGUGGGUGAAAGGACAGGCCCAUGGUCCCACCUGUGGGAGCAGGAGAGGACCAGGCCGAUGAGCCUUGCAGGGGGCACGCCAGCUUGUGGUCCCAGCUAGUUUCUGCUCCCACCACCCCCAUCCCACUCCCAGGGAGGGAUGUCCCUUCUAGGGCUACCCCCUUCCCUGCAGCCCUGGCUGCUCAGCAGCCGCCUUGAGCAAGCCCUUAUCCACUUCCUCCUGGCCUGGGGGCGGGGCACGCAUCUGCCAGUCCUGUGACCGUCCCCUUCAGCCCCAUCUCUGAGAGUGGGGUUUCCUGAGAGUCUGCCCUUCUGCCCCGCACACCAGGGGCCCAGAGCUGCAGAAGCCCCCACAGGCUUUGUUCCCAGCAGGGCUCAGAGGGCUCCUGGUGCUCCAUCAGCAGUCCCUGGAGGACACGGAGCAGUCUCAAGUGCAGCCGUCCAUGUGGCCUUCAGCCCUUGUGAUUCCAUGAGCUAGCAUCAGCCGUCCCCUCAGUGGGUGGCAGAGGCUGCCGGGAGCAGAAGAAAGAGCCCAUCCUUGGGUUCUCCUGGCUUCUCGCUCAGAGCUGCUCUCUGCUGUGAAGGAGGAAGUAGGCAUAUCCCAGUGAGUUUUGCGUCGCCUACAUCCAGGCAGCUCAGCCAUAAGUCAGCCCAAAGCCCGCCAGCUGGGAGCUGCACUGAGCCCCUGGUCACAAAAGUGAACGUCACAGGACGGGCCAACUCUGCCCAGGCCUCGCUGUGUGCACAUACACAGGUGUACGCAUGUAUGUAGGCAUGAACAUGUGGGUGGACAUGUGCAUGCAAGUGUUUUGUGUACAAGCAUAUACGUGUGGCUGGGCACAUGUGUGUGCAUGAGUGUUCAUAUGGAAGUAUAUGCUGGGCGAGGCGGCUGGAUCACUUGAGGCUAGAAGUUGGAGACCAGCCUGGCCAACAUGGCAAAGCCCUGUCUCUAUUAAAAGUACAAAAAUUAGCCAGACGUGGUGAUGCACGCCUAUAUCCCAGCUACAUGGGAGGCUGAAGCACGAGAAUCUCUUGAACCCAGUAGGCAGAGGUUGCAGUGAGCUGAGAUCGCACCGCUGCAUUCCAGCCUGGGUGACAGAGCAAGGCUCCGUC
This 2560-nucleotide long non-coding RNA is filed under the name Homo sapiens (human). Its description in RNAcentral is "non-protein coding lnc-USE1-4:1". The record is from RNAcentral. Lineage: Eukaryota; Metazoa; Chordata; Mammalia; Primates; Hominidae.